This 871-nucleotide long non-coding RNA is filed under the name Equus caballus (horse). Its description in RNAcentral is "lncRNA (ENSECAG00000057187.1)". Lineage: Eukaryota; Metazoa; Chordata; Mammalia; Perissodactyla; Equidae. The record is from RNAcentral.
UUUUCUUUUUACUGUCCUUUCUAUUUAUUUAUUUAUUUUUGGUGAGGAAGAUUGUCCCUGAGCUAACACCUGUGCCAAUCUUCCUCUAUUUUGUGCGUGGGAUGUUGCCACAGCACGGCUUGAUGAGCAGUGUGUAGGUCCACAGCCAGGAUUCAAACCCAUGAACUCAAGGCCACCAAAGCGGAGUAUAUGAACUUAACCAGUACAACCACCGGGCCAGCCACAAGACUUUAUUUUUUGAGUAGUUUUAGGUUUACAACAAAAUUGAGAGGAAAGUACAAGUGCAAUGGGGAAGUCGCAAAACACUUCAUCAAAGAAGUUGAAUUUGUCCUGGUCCUUAAAGAAUUAAUUAUAUUUAGUCUUGCAAAGGAAUGACUAUUUCAUGAAGGAAAAAUAAAAGUCUGGGUCACAGAAUGUGAAUUAAUGUAGAGUUGUUUCUCUUUUCCCUUGCCAUAUAUGCUCCUUUCUCUGAAAUUUCUGUUUCUCUGGGUGUUAGAUGUCCAGAUGAGAGGCUGUCUAGGAGAGUGGUUAGGAUAAAAAGCCCCAGAGCCAUAUGCCUGCUUUGAAACCACAGCUGUCUUGUGAAUGCCGUUAUGCAAAUCCCACAGCCUCUUCAUGAUCCACUGGGCAUGGCAUGGGUCAGGAUGGAAGGAGAGCUGGCUGGGCCAAGACAGGGCACAAUAAGGAUAACUUGAAGACUGCUUGAGAUGGAAGGUUGGAGUUCUUCCAAAAAGUGAAGAUAUUCCGGUGCAUUGUGAUGUUUGGGAUUUAAAUAUUUCUGAAGAGUGUAAGUAUUUAAAAAUCACUGAAAAUAUCCAACUCUGAGUCAAGGUAAGAACAUGUUGCCACUGAAUCACACUUUUGAUCUUCC